RNAcentral lists this ribosomal RNA (1427 nucleotides) under uncultured organism. RNAcentral describes it as "16S ribosomal RNA". It matches the Rfam family "Bacterial small subunit ribosomal RNA". The record is from RNAcentral.
UGCUUAACACAUGCAAGUCGAACGGAAAGGCCCUGCUUUUGUGGGGUGCUCGAGUGGCGAACGGGUGAGUAACACGUGAGUAACCUGCCCUUGACUUUGGGAUAACUUCAGGAAACUGGGGCUAAUACCGGAUAGGAGCUCCUGCUGCAUGGUGGGGGUUGGAAAGUUUCGGCGGUUGGGGAUGGACUCGCGGCUUAUCAGCUUGUUGGUGGGGUAGUGGCUUACCAAGGCUUUGACGGGUAGCCGGCCUGAGAGGGUGACCGGCCACAUUGGGACUGAGAUACGGCCCAGACUCCUACGGGAGGCAGCAGUGGGGAAUAUUGCACAAUGGGCGGAAGCCUGAUGCAGCAACGCCGCGUGCGGGAUGACGGCCUUCGGGUUGUAAACCGCUUUCGCCUGUGACGAAGCGUGAGUGACGGUAAUGGGUAAAGAAGCACCGGCUAACUACGUGCCAGCAGCCGCGGUGAUACGUAGGGUGCGAGCGUUGUCCGGAUUUAUUGGGCGUAAAGGGCUCGUAGGUGGUUGAUCGCGUCGGAAGUGUAAUCUUGGGGCUUAACCCUGAGCGUGCUUUCGAUACGGGUUGACUUGAGGAAGGUAGGGGAGAAUGGAAUUCCUGGUGGAGCGGUGGAAUGCGCAGAUAUCAGGAGGAACACCAGUGGCGAAGGCGGUUCUCUGGGCCUUUCCUGACGCUGAGGAGCGAAAGCGUGGGGAGCGAACAGGCUUAGAUACCCUGGUAGUCCACGCUGUAAACGGUGGGUACUAGGUGUGGGGUCCAUUCCACGGGUUCCGUGCCGUAGCUAACGCUUUAAGUACCCCGCCUGGGGAGUACGGCCGCAAGGCUAAAACUCAAAGGAAUUGACGGGGCCCCGCACAAGCGGCGGAGCAUGCGGAUUAAUUCGAUGCAACGCGUAGAACCUUACCUGGGUUUGACAUGGAUCGGGAGUGCUCAGAGAUGGGUGUGCCUCUUUUGGGGUCGGUUCACAGGUGGUGCAUGGCUGUCGUCAGCUCGUGUCGUGAGAUGUUGGGUUAAGUCCCGCAACGAGCGCAACCCUUGUUCACUGUUGCCAGCACGUUAUGGUGGGGACUCAGUGGAGACCGCCGGGGUCAACUCGGAGGAAGGUGGGGAUGACGUCAAGUCAUCAUGCCCCUUAUGUCCAGGGCUUCACGCAUGCUACAAUGGCUGGUACAGAGAGUGGCGAGCCUGUGAGGGUGAGCGAAUCUCGGAAAGCCGGUCUCAGUUCGGAUUGGGGUCUGCAACUCGACCUCAUGAAGUCGGAGUCGCUAGUAAUCGCAGAUCAGCAACGCUGCGGUGAAUACGUUCCCGGGGCUUGUACACACCGCCCGUCAAGUCAUGAAAGUUGGUAACACCCGAAGCCGGUGGCCUAACCGUUGAGGGGGAGCCGUCGAAGGUGGGACUGGUGAUUAGG